This 407-nucleotide ribosomal RNA is filed under the name uncultured bacterium. RNAcentral describes it as "bacterial SSU rRNA". It matches the Rfam family "Bacterial small subunit ribosomal RNA", at positions 355 to 776 of the family's 1533-position model. The record is from RNAcentral.
UGGGGGAUAUUGCACAAUGGGGGGAACCCUGAUGCAGCGACGCCGCGUGAGUGAAGACGGCCUUCGGGUUGUAAAGCUCUGUCAAUCGGGACGAAGAAGAUGACGGUACCGAUGAAGGAAGCUCCGGCUAACUACGUGCCAGCAGCCGCGGUAAUACGUAGGGAGCAAGCGUUGUCCGGAAUUACUGGGUGUAAAGGGAGCGUAGGCGGGAAUGCAAGUUGGAAGUGAAAGGUAUGGGCUCAACCCAUGAACUGCUUUCAAAACUGUAUUUCUUGAGUGAAGUAGAGGCAGGCGGAAUUCCUAGUGUAGCGGUGAAAUGCGUAGAUAUUAGGAGGAACACCAGUGGCGAAGGCGGCCUGCUGGGCUUUAACUGACGCUGAGGCUCGAAAGCGUGGGUAGCAAACAGG